UUUACCGAAGCUGAUAAUUAAAUAGCGCAUCUUUGUUAAUGAUGAGAAAGGAGGUUUAAAUCCUCUCGGUAAAG
Molecule: transfer RNA, 74 nt
Filed under: Leptestheria brevirostris
Lineage: Eukaryota; Metazoa; Arthropoda; Branchiopoda; Diplostraca; Leptestheriidae
Description: tRNA-Asn
Rfam family: tRNA
About the family: Transfer RNA (tRNA) molecules are approximately 80 nucleotides in length. Their secondary structure includes four short double-helical elements and three loops (D, anti-codon, and T loops).
Source: RNAcentral